UCCCGUGGUAAUCCCGUACUCUCUGCAGAGGCCCCUGCUAUAAUAUCUUGAGCAAUCUGGUGAAGACGAGAAACUGGAAGGCAACUGCUGACGCUGAAAAACCGGAUCAGUACGGAACCUAUCCGACAUGACCCCUAUCAGCAGCAGAAAGAUAUCGUCAUCCAAGCCAGCACCCGUAUGAGAUGGUCCGACAUGUACUCUCGGACGAUGGCGCUGGCUGGAGCCUAUAAAGAGAUACAAAUUCGAUUACUAAUAAUAAUUUAUAUAAUGUGAUAAAUUCGGAUAAUUUCGUGAAACAUAAUAAAAUAUUACCUUCAGGAAGUGUAUAUGCGGGUAUCCUCGGCAGACCCAACAAUCGAUAUCUGCUGGUACUGCUAGUAGGGGGAUCCUGAGACGCGACCCAUAGUCUCAGCUCCUCAUCCCGAUCUAAUACAAUAUUGGGAAGAGGGGUGGCGGAAUC
Molecule: long non-coding RNA, 460 nt
Filed under: Panax ginseng (ginseng)
Lineage: Eukaryota; Viridiplantae; Streptophyta; Magnoliopsida; Apiales; Araliaceae
Description: long non-coding RNA (PGIN_LNC010132)
Source: RNAcentral